ACUCAAGCAAUUUAAAGGGGCUAUUAAGGAAGACAAGCAAAUUUAUAAAAAAGGAGGUUAAUCAUACCAAAAGCCCCAUAUUAACAAAUAAAAAUGUGGCAAUCCUAAGGGAAACCUUAAUAUAAGUACUUCCCGAACCAAAACAUUGUAGUAGGGAAAGGAAAGUAAAUCAACCGAGACUCCGAAAGUAAUGGUGAGUGAAAUCGGACCAGCCUAUCAAUAAUUUAAAAACUGAAAUUUCUUUCGAAUAAGAUAUCAUAUACCCGUCCGAAGGACAGCUUUGCGCGGGAGCCGAAGAAGGUGUUAGCCCUGUAGGGGUUUAAAUUAUUGUAUAUCAAGUACGAUGAGAGAUAACUUGUCGGAAUAAAGGGGAACCAUCCUCUAAGGGCUAAGUAUUAUAAAUUUAGCGAUAGUGAACAGUACUGUAAAGGAAAGUUGAAAAGAAAGUAGAUGACUAGUGAAAAGAUCCUGAAUUAGUAGCUCUAUAAGCAGUCGGAAUUUAAAUUAAAUAAUGUUGAAUGACGACGUACCUUUUGCAUAAUGGGUCAGCAAGUUAAUAUUAGUAGCGAGGUUUAAAGCCCUAGCGAAAGCGACUGUACCGAUAUAAUACAAAAUAUAUAGGUAAUGGGAUUAUGUUACUGAUAUUAGACCCGAAACGAGGUGAUCUUUCCAUGGCCAGAUUAUAAUGGAUCGAACGGGUGAAUGUUGCAAAAUUCUCCGAUGAGCUGUGGAAAGGGGUAAGCCUAAAUUGCCCAGUAAAUGAGAAAUUAUUUACAAUAUACCAACUCAUAACGGUGAAACCUAAAGUUUAAAGUUUUAAACCAUGGCAAUACCGUGGGAAGUCGUAAUGUAGUAGAAACACGGUAACUAAAAAAUGACUCAACCCACUCGGUGGGUUGCCUCUACUUUUUCGAUGUCGAGUCGAGUGGCCAACGGUCCUCACAAAAAGUAGCGGUUAGUUAUUUUAAUUUAUCUAAAGAUAAGUUCUCAUUAUUGACCCUGUAACGACUGAUUCGAAAGAUGAGACGUAGAAAACUGGUAGUCCAGUCUUGUUCCUUAAAUAAGGACAUGUCUAUGUGACACGUUGGCACUUUACAGUUUCAACUUGCUAUGUAAAUUAAAUUUGCUAAGGCAAGAGUAAAGUUGAAGGUAUAGUCUGAGCCUUAAUGAAAAUUAAGGAUUAACUUGGAAAGGCCAUUCUGACCUCGAGAUAGCUGAUAUUCCACGAAACAUUUUUUAGAAUGACACUUACGAUUUUUUUUUUUCAUGAGAUUUAUGCAGGUACAGCACUAGGAAUUCCAUACUCUGUGUUUCCGACACAGGUUAAAUUGGGGGGUGUUGCAACUCUACCAUUGGAAAUUAAUCUCGGAAUGGCAUAAAUUGAUAGUAAGUAUUCAGACUGUUCAUGAUAAGGUGGGCAGUCAAAACGGAAACAGCCGUGAGCAUGUAUUAAGGUCCCAAAAUGAUUAUUAAGUGAAAUAAAGGAAGUUACUCUCUAAAUACAGCUAUAAAGUGAGCUUGGCAGUCGCUAUCUUUUAAUGAUCGUGUAACAACGCAGUAGUCUAAUGGAGUUUAGCACCGAAAAUUUAACGGGUCUAGAUAAUCUACCGAAAUCAUGCCGCUUUGAUAUAUUAUGUCCCUGUUAUCGAUAAUUGUAGUAUAAUAUGUCCAAGUUGGGUAGUGGAACAUUCAGAACGGAUGAAGAACAGUGUUUCAUUGUUUGGACGUAACUGAAGAGAUAAUGCUGACAUGAGUAACGUAGAAAGAAGUUAUAAUACUUCUCGCCGAAUACGAAAGGGUUGUCCGGUAAAGUUAAACUGCCGGACGUUAUAGCGGCCUCUAAGCUACAAAACCAAUGUUUUGUGUGAUGAGUUUUUCACAGAAAGUCUAUUAUUUUGAAAAAUAAUAGACCAGGAAAAGAAUGUGAAUGUUCUACCGCACUGCGGCCCACAGAACACUAACUACCGUACCCUAAACCGACACAGGUUCGUUGGUAGAGAAUACUCAGGCGUAGAGAUAAUGCUUGUAAAGGAACUCGGCAAGUUGUCCUCAUAAGUUUGGCAAUAAGAGGAGCCAUUUAAUGUAUUAAAUGGUGUCACAGAAUCGGAGGCCACGACUGUUUAAUUAAAACACAGACAUCUGCUACGAUUAAUUUAUUUGUAUAGGUGUUGAAUUUUGCCCCAUGCCAUCAACAUAAGGUCUGCGAGUUCAAAUAUGCGGAUUGAAAGUCUGGUUAAUGGCGGUCUUAACUAUAAGGAUCAGAUUCUAAUAUAACUACCAUAUUAGGGUCCUUUUUAAAUUUAACUAUAUGCUGGAACAUCUUUUUAAUGGAUUGUUUUACAUUGUUUUUAUAUUUAAAUUGCGAUGGUCAUGCUUUUAUAAGCAUGACAAAUACUAUUUAGCUGGGGUGCCCAAACAAUUGUUUGAACAAUUGUUUGGGUCACCCUGGGGGUGCCCAGCGAAGCUGGGUCACCCGAUGAAUAAAAAUAAUCAACGGUCCUCACAAAAAGUGUCGGUCAAAGAAAUAUAACAUGAACAUGAAUACAUUAAUUAGUAAAGAUAAUCAGCAGGGAAUUACUAGAGAUAUUAACCAAAAAGGAUAUUUAUUUUGGUUAGGUGGAUUCUACGAGGGAGAAGGUUCUGCUUCUGUAUCAAUUAGUAUAAGUUCAACUUUCAAGUUUGGAGUUCAAUUACAGCCUACCUUUAACGUAUCGGGUGACCCAGCUUCGCUGGGCACCCCCAGGGUGACCCACGAAAAUGGUUUACCUAUUUUACAAUCUUUUAAAGAUUUAUUUGGUUCAGGUUAUUUGGUUAAAAAAUCUGGGUCCGAUCUAGUCUGGGUUUAUACCCUUAAAGGAUAUAAAAAUAUGAUUGAAAAAGUUAUACCUUUCGUGGAUACAUAUGUUAGCCCUUUUAGUUGCAAGAGACACGAGUAUGAAGUGUUUAAAGAAAUAAGUCUUAGACUUAAUUCUCAAGAACAUCUUACGCAAGAGGGUUUAAUAAAAUUGGUAGAGCUGGCGUAUUUUAUUUAUAGUGCGCCAUAGGCGCAUGAUAAAUAAAAAUACUUAUCAAGGAAAAGGUAAGUUUAGAAAAAGAACACUAAAUGAGAUUAUUGAAAUUAUUAAAGAUAAAGAUAGCUUUUUCCAAAAAGAAUCUGUAACUCCACGUGAAGUGUAAGUUUAUAUCCUAGUUCCCUCAGAGACUAAACGUUAAACAAAAGUAAAAAUUACAUAAAUUUCAGACUCAUCUGAAUGUAUGAUAGUUUAUCUAUUAUAUAAAUAACCCCCUUUUAAAGGUUUGGUAAAGGAAUUUUGCUUUUGAUGAUAUAGUCCACAUAUUUAUAAUAAUAUAAAUAUUAAAGCCUAAGGUAGCGAAAUUUAUUGUCCGUUAAAUGCGGUCCCGCAUGAAUAAAGUAACGAUGGUCUCACUGUCUCUACAAGCAUCUCAGUGAAAUUGAAUUAGCCGUGCAGAUGCGGCUUACCUCCGGGUGGACGGGAAGAGUAAAACGCGACUAGCUAAAUUUAUUAUAACAAUGUGGUGUAAGCCCACCAAGUAAUCCAUUACUUGAGCCU
This is a non-coding RNA of Rhizoctonia solani, 3572 nucleotides long. Lineage: Eukaryota; Fungi; Basidiomycota; Agaricomycetes; Cantharellales; Ceratobasidiaceae. The record is from Rfam.